AGGACGAACGCUGGCGGCGUGCUUAACACAUGCAAGUCGAGCGGAAAGGCCCUUCGGGGUACUCGAGCGGCGAACGGGUGAGUAACACGUGAGCAACCUGCCCUACGCUUUGGGAUAACCCUCGGAAACGGGGGCUAAUACCGGAUAUUCAUCUCCUGUCGCAUGGUGGGGGUUGGAAAGUUUUUCGGCGUGGGAUGGGCUCGCGGCCUAUCAGCUUGUUGGUGGGGUGAUGGCCUACCAAGGCGACGACGGGUA
RNAcentral lists this ribosomal RNA (255 nucleotides) under uncultured soil bacterium. Its description in RNAcentral is "partial 16S ribosomal RNA". It matches the Rfam family "Bacterial small subunit ribosomal RNA", at positions 26 to 285 of the family's 1533-position model. The record is from RNAcentral.